RNAcentral lists this long non-coding RNA (586 nucleotides) under Vigna radiata. RNAcentral's name for it is "long non-coding RNA (VRAD_LNC001251)". The record is from RNAcentral. Lineage: Eukaryota; Viridiplantae; Streptophyta; Magnoliopsida; Fabales; Fabaceae.
GGGGACAAAGAAAUCUAACUAAAAAGGAAAAAAAUAAAACUAAAAUCUAUUUUUGAAUAAGAAAUAACAUGAAAUAAAAGGAAAGUAAAACUAUAUAGAAAUCUAAACUACCUAAGAUAGAAACAGUAACAAAAAAUAAUAUGAAAAUUUAAAUGCAACUAAGAUGAUCCUAAACUAAUGAAUCUGAAACUAAAAUAAACCUAGAUACCAACCUAUGAAACCAAUGAACAACUAAAUUUCCUAAUUAUAUGCCUACUCUAGAAAUGUAAAUGUAAAUGCAAGGAAUAAAUCAUCACAGAACAGAACCGAAUGGAAGGGAAAGUAAAAAUCACAAUCAGACCUAAGGCUAUUCAACAUUAAUUCAACAGAAAUAUUAAAAAAUAAAGCACUAAACCAAAUAUAACAGGCACAAGCAAAGAACAGAGGAAAUGCACACUAGAUUGAAUGAAAGAGUCUUAAUCACUCUUCAGAAAGACAUUCCGAGAAAGUUAAGCCCUCUAUGGGGUCUUUUUAGUUCAUAUUUCAGAACUUAAAGUGGUAAUUCUCACUCAAUUAAUCAAUCAGUGCACAGUUUCACAAGAACAGG